This is a long non-coding RNA of Talpa occidentalis (Iberian mole), 224 nucleotides long. RefSeq lists it as uncharacterized. The transcript has 3 exons. NCBI's taxonomy places the organism in Eukaryota, Metazoa, Chordata, Mammalia, Eulipotyphla, Talpidae. The record is from RefSeq and is a predicted model, not a curated record.
CCAGGUCAUCUGAGUUGGGAAGGCAGGAUGGUGAGGAAGAUUUGUCUCUCUUUGUCUGCUCUGACCCUCCUGGAUUCAGUCUGGAUCGUCUCAACUAGGUACCACGUUCUGUGUUAGGCACUGGGGAUGCCAAGAUGAAUCAAGUCCUGUCCUAACAGAGUCCACACCGUCCAGGUCUCUGCUGACCAGAAACAAGUCAGAGGGGAGUUUAUGUGGUAAACUUC